AGAGUUUGAUCCUGGCUCAGAUUGAACGCUGGCGGCAGGCUUAACACAUGCAAGUCGAGCGGUAACAGGAGUAGCUUGCUACCCGCUGACGAGCGGCGGACGGGUGAGUAACGCGUAGAAAUCUGCCUAGUAGUGGGGGAUAGCCCAGAGAAAUUUGGAUUAAUACCGCAUACGCCCUACGGGGGAAAGAAGGGGACCUUCGGGCCUUUUGCUAUUAGAUGAGUCUGCGUCGGAUUAGCUAGUUGGUGGGGUAAUGGCCUACCAAGGCGACGAUCCGUAGCUGGUCUGAGAGGAUGAUCAGCCACACUGGGACUGAGACACGGCCCAGACUCCUACGGGAGGCAGCAGUGGGGAAUAUUGCACAAUGGGCGCAAGCCUGAUGCAGCCAUGCCGCGUGUGUGAAGAAGGCCUUAGGGUUGUAAAGCACUUUCAGCAGUGAGGAAAGGAAUGUAGUUAAUAACUGCAUUCUGUGACGUUAACUGCAGAAGAAGGACCGGCUAACUCCGUGCCAGCAGCCGCGGUAAU
Molecule: ribosomal RNA, 525 nt
Filed under: uncultured bacterium
Lineage: Bacteria
Description: bacterial SSU rRNA
Rfam family: Bacterial small subunit ribosomal RNA
Source: RNAcentral